CUCAUGAUGAACGCUAGCUACAGGCUUAACACAUGCAAGUCGAGGGGCAGCAUGGUCUUAGCUUGCUAAGGCCGAUGGCGACCGGCGCACGGGUGAGUAACACGUAUCCAACCUGCCGUCUACUCUUGGACAGCCUUCUGAAAGGAAGAUUAAUACAAGAUGGCAUCAUGAGUCCGCAUGUUCACAUGAUUAAAGGUAUUCCGGUAGACGAUGGGGAUGCGUUCCAUUAGAUAGUAGGCGGGGUAACGGCCCACCUAGUCUUCGAUGGAUAGGGGUUCUGAGAGGAAGGUCCCCCACAUUGGAACUGAGACACGGUCCAAACUCCUACGGGAGGCAGCAGUGAGGAAUAUUGGUCAAUGGGCGAGAGCCUGAACCAGCCAAGUAGCGUGAAGGAUGACUGCCCUAUGGGUUGUAAACUUCUUUUAUAAAGGAAUAAAGUCGGGUAUGGAUACCCGUUUGCAUGUACUUUAUGAAUAAGGAUCGGCUAACUCCGUGCCAGCAGCCGCGGUAAUACGGAGGAUCCGAGCGUUAUCCGGAUUUAUUGGGUUUAAAGGGAGCGUAGAUGGAUGUUUAAGUCAGUUGUGAAAGUUUGCGGCUCAACCGUAAAAUUGCAGUUGAUACUGGAUAUCUUGAGUGCAGUUGAGGCAGGCGGAAUUCGUGGUGUAGCGGUGAAAUGCUUAGAUAUCACGAAGAACUCCGAUUGCGAAGGCAGCCUGCUAAGCUGCAACUGACAUUGAGGCUCGAAAGUGUGGGUAUCAAACAGGAUUAGAUACCCUGGUAGUCCACACGGUAAACGAUGAAUACUCGCUGUUUGCGAUAUACAGCAAGCGGCCAAGCGAAAGCGUUAAGUAUUCCACCUGGGGAGUACGCCGGCAACGGUGAAACUCAAAGGAAUUGACGGGGGCCCGCACAAGCGGAGGAACAUGUGGUUUAAUUCGAUGAUACGCGAGGAACCUUACCCGGGCUUAAAUUGCAGAUGAAUUACGGUGAAAGCCGUAAGCCGCAAGGCAUCUGUGAAGGUGCUGCAUGGUUGUCGUCAGCUCGUGCCGUGAGGUGUCGGCUUAAGUGCCAUAACGAGCGCAACCCUUGUUGUCAGUUACUAACAGGUUCCGCUGAGGACUCUGACAAGACUGCCAUCGUAAGAUGUGAGGAAGGUGGGGAUGACGUCAAAUCAGCACGGCCCUUACGUCCGGGGCUACACACGUGUUACAAUGGGGGGUACAGAGGGCCGCUACCACGCGAGUGGAUGCCAAUCCCCAAAACCUCUCUCAGUUCGGACUGGAGUCUGCAACCCGACUCCACGAAGCUGGAUUCGCUAGUAAUCGCGCAUCAGCCACGGCGCGGUGAAUACGUUCCCGGGCCUUGUACACACCGCCCGUCAAGCCAUGGGAGCCGGGGGUACCUGAAGUGCGUAACCGCGAGGAGCGCCCUAGGGUA
Molecule: ribosomal RNA, 1437 nt
Filed under: uncultured organism
Description: SSU rRNA
Rfam family: Bacterial small subunit ribosomal RNA
Source: RNAcentral